CUCAGGACGAACGCUGGCGGCGUGCUUAACACAUGCAAGUCGAACGAUGAUGCCUAGCUUGCUGGGUUGAUUAGUGGCGAACGGGUGAGUAACACGUGAGUAACCUGCCCCUGACUUCGGGAUAACGCUGGGAAACUGGUGCUAAUACCGGAUAUGACGCGCCUUCGCAUCGGGGGUGUGUGGAAAGACUGUGUCGGUUGGGGAUGGGCUCGCGGCCUAUCAGCUUGUUGGUCGGGGUGAUGGCCUACCAAGGCGUCGACGGGUAGCCGGCCUGAGAGGGUGACCGGCCACACUGGGACUGAGAUACGGCCCAGACUCCUACGGGAGGCAGCAGUGGGGAAUAUUGCACAAUGGGCGCAAGCCUGAUGCAGCGACGCCGCGUGAGGGAUGACGGCCUUCGGGUUGUAAACCUCUUUCAGUAGGGGAGAAGCCAGCUUGCUGGUGACGGUACCUGCAGAAGAAGCGCCGGCUAACUACGUGCCAGCAGCCGCGGUAAUACGUAGGGCGCAAGCGUUGUCCGGAAUUAUUGGGCGUAAAGAGCUCGUAGGCGGUUUGUCGCGUCUGCUGUGAAAACGUGGGGCUUAACCCUACGCCUGCAGUGGGUACGGGCAGACUAGAGUGCGGUAGGGGAGACUGG
RNAcentral lists this ribosomal RNA (637 nucleotides) under uncultured bacterium. RNAcentral describes it as "SSU rRNA". It matches the Rfam family "Bacterial small subunit ribosomal RNA", at positions 23 to 664 of the family's 1533-position model. The record is from RNAcentral.